GGAAAUAAAUUGAAUGAUGAACUUCUAAUUCAUCACACUAUGAUAAAAUCAUAUUAUUUCU
This 61-nucleotide transfer RNA is filed under the name Pheidole flavigaster. Its description in RNAcentral is "tRNA-Ser". Lineage: Eukaryota; Metazoa; Arthropoda; Insecta; Hymenoptera; Formicidae. The record is from RNAcentral.